RNAcentral lists this ribosomal RNA (497 nucleotides) under uncultured bacterium. RNAcentral describes it as "partial 16S ribosomal RNA". It matches the Rfam family "Bacterial small subunit ribosomal RNA", at positions 28 to 507 of the family's 1533-position model. The record is from RNAcentral.
GAUGAACGCUGGCGGCGUGCCUAAUACAUGCAAGUCGAGCGAACAGACGAGGAGCUUGCUCCUCUGACGUUAGCGGCGGACGGGUGAGUAACACGUGGAUAACCUACCUAUAAGACUGGGAUAACUUCGGGAAACCGGAGCUAAUACCGGAUAAUAUAUUGAACCGCAUGGGUCAAUAGUGAAAGACGGUUUUGCUGUCACUUAUAGAUGGAUCCGCGCCGCAUUAGCUAGUUGGUAAGGUAACGGCUUACCAAGGCAACGAUGCGUAGCCGACCUGAGAGGGUGAUCGGCCACACUGGAACUGAGACACGGUCCAGGCUCCUACGGGAGGCAGCAGUAGGGAAUCUUCCGCAAUGGGCGAAAGCUUGACGGAGCAACGCCGCGUGAGUGAUGAAGGUCUUCGGAUCGUAAAACUCUGUUAUUAGGGAAGAACAAAUGUGUAAGUAACUAUGCACGGCUUGACGGUACCUAGUCAGAAAGCCACGGCUAACUACGUG